Hysterangium stoloniferum is the source of this 71-nucleotide non-coding RNA. Lineage: Eukaryota; Fungi; Basidiomycota; Agaricomycetes; Hysterangiales; Hysterangiaceae. The record is from the annotation of a GenBank genome assembly.
GGCCUGAUAGCUCAGGGGUUAAGAGCACUAGACAGACAUAGUGGUCACUGGUUCAAUUCCAGCUCAGGUCA